CCCAGUACUCUGGCAAUUAUUACAAAGUUUCACUGUUACUGAAGGCAUGUCAUAGAGUAGAAAAAAAUCUUCUAAUUUCCAAAUUAAGUCAAAAUCUCCACAAGUAAGUAUUCCUUAAGCAAAAAGUCUAACAAAAUGUGACUGAUGCAGGGCUAUUUUUCCUGUCUUCCACUUUUAUCUCAUUUUGUACAAGAAGAUGAGCCAUCACCAUCCCACAAUCUAAUACAGCCUUCCCUGUCCCUGAAAUGCCAAUGAAUUCAGAUAAGCUUUUGUGAAGAAAACAACUUAGAAUUCUUGGUUGAGUUAUGUUGGACUUGGUUGGCACCCUUCCUUAGGGCAAUGAUAAUCAGGCCAGAACACAAGGACAUCAAGGGGCCUGGCUGAGGAAGCACAAUCAUUAACAAAGUAAACUUAGUUAAGUAGAAGGGCCUUUGGCUAAUUCUUUUCAAGUCAGAGCCUGAGCCUGAAAUGAGGCAUUGGAUAAAGUUGGCAUUCUCUGCCCAUUCGAGAUCUCUCUUCAUUUAGUGCUGGCCAAUGACAUCUGUGCUGGCUGCCAGUUAUCACUGACAAUACAAGCAGCCUUCAAGGGUGGCUGUCCCUUAACAAGAGACUUCAGAAGGAAAGCCAUUAGUGGCACCUGCUCUAGGAGGAGCCCACAGAGGACUCUCCUGGGCCAAUUACCUCCUCGUAGCCAAGAAAAGACAGGCACUUCCAGGCCAAAUCAGACUGCAGAUCAGAAUCCGUGGGACUCAGGGUGGGGGCAGACAUGCUGAUGAGAACAAAUGUUAUCCAAGAGCUGAGAAAGUUCAAAUCCACUUCACAGAAGUCAUCCAGAGCUAAUUCUGUAUAAGACUUAAAGCACAUUACCUGAGGUCAUGAGUUCAUUCUAUUUCUUCCUGCAUCCUCAGUAUGAUUAAAUACUUUGUGGUUGAAGAAUAAGUGAAAAGUUUACAGAAAAGUGUUUUGUCAAAAGUAAUGACAAACAAAAUGACUGAAAUGACGUCAGUUGAAUAUUAUCUAAAAUAUAAGUUUUCAAAUGUGCUUUUUAUCCCAAACAUUUGGUCAUCCUACAAAUUUUAGCAAAAAAGAAAUCAAUAUUUCUGACCUUGACCCAAUCCUGACCCUACUCAAAGGGCAGCCUAAGAAGAAAAUGCAAAGUUAAUGCUGACCUUGCUUUCUUUAUUGGGAAAAAAUGAGAACCCAAUUAUGUUGCCUAGAGAGUCACAUUUAUUCCACUUAACAUUAAGUGCUUCAAACAAAAGCCUAGUAACUGAAGUAAAAGGUGAAAAACGCAAACCAAACCAAGCCUUUAAAAGAGUACAUCUGGUGUGCAAUUCAUUAUAGGGCUGUAGGUGAUUAGGGUUUCCUCAAACAUCUUUCACAGAGCCAGCUGAUUAUAACAGAGAAGAAAUGAGUUCCACUGCACCAUCCUAUUUUAUUUUGGCUGUACCAUUAUUAGUAAAUAACACCGAAAGUAUAUCAGUUGAAAAAAAGAUGGACCACAUUUCUUUCCAGGGAGCACAUCAAAAAAACCACUACCAUGCCAUGUGUAGGAAAAUUCUGGUACUUCCACAGUACACAAAUGCAGAGCUACUGUCCUUAAUGAGAUGACAGUUUAUUACUUCCAUAUAAAGACUGGAUUUUUGAGCUUUCUUAUGCCUCUGAUUUAUAGCAAACACUUAGCUGAUCCAUACUCCAAACAAUCCAAAGUACUAUACAUCUGCUGCUUUCAUUUCUUGGAUAAAAUGGAUCUCAAUACCAGCUAAAAAAACCAUAUUAGGCUAAAAAUCUCAUCUACAGGCAAUACGCUAUUGAUCAAAACUAAUAAUUCUUUUUGAAAGAGAUUACUCACCUUAAACCUCAACUCUAGUAGGUAAAAUACAUCAUAGUGAUCAGAAAAUAAAGAUGAUUGUGGUGAUCAGUGGCCUUAUCAAAGGCUAUUAUUUGGAUCACUGCUCAAAACACCUUCAGCCUUGCCAUGAUGUUGCUUUUCACAGAACAGAGACAAGCACGAAGACUAACAGAUGCUUACUGGUUUGGAUUGGUACUUCAUUCAAAAAUACCAUGCCUAAUGUCUUUCAAUCUUAAUAAAACAUUAAAUAAACUAUCAACCAUAGUACAUGAUGCUAAAGCCAACAGAGCAUAUCCGUUUUUAUUGCUUUAUCUGAAAUCUUGGUGAGAUUCCUACCCUAAACCAGGAAGGCACUGACUGCUAAGCAAGAGAAUAGUUUCAAUAAUAUGUUCCUUAAAAAGUCCAAGUCUGUAUUUAUAUAUUUGCCUAGAAUAGAACCAAUUAGAAACAACCAUAUUUGAAAUCCACCAUAAAAAUCCUCUUUGGUUCCUCCUUAAAUUUCAGUGAGUCUUCUUUACAGCCUGACUAAACAUUACGGCCUUCCCUUUCUUCAGGAACUCAGAUGCUUUUGCAUCUGCAUUUGCAAAACCAUUUUUAGAGCCUUCUUCCUUUCCCCAUAUUAACUCAAUACAGAACAUCUUGGUUUACUUCCAGUCAUAGCCAAGCUGCUCUCACUGUCAUCAGAAACAUCACUACAGGGACAUCCUCACUCCAGGUCACUUAAAGAGCCACAAUAACCUCUGCUUAUGCCCUCUGACUCCAGAGUUAAGAAGGCAUAAUAAUGCAUCCUUUAAAAGGACUAUAUUGGUUAGUAUAUUAGUGACUCAUAAUAAAAAAUAAUGUACUAUGAUUCCAGAACAAAGUAAAACUUACAAUGGUAGAAGCCAUAAUAGGCACAAAUUUAUAUUUUAAAAAGCCUGAUUUUAGGAUUUACACAGAAAAAUGUUAAUCCCAAUGAAAAUACUUUCAGGAAAAUAAAUAGGAAAAUAGAAAAAAUUACAGAUGGUUUAACUAUAUGAUAGAGAAAAUUGAUCAAGGAAUUAAGUUAGCUUAGUGGAACCAUCUGUGCUGAGAAAUACUUUCUCAACAAAAAACUCAUUAAUAUUCAUUUAAUUCUAAUUAAAAUAUUUAUAUUUACAUCCAACUAGUCAAAAGCUUCCACAGGUAGUAACAAUAAGAAUAAUACAAUUAUUAGUAACAGGUAUUAUACUAGUAUUAGUAGAUACUAGAAAUAGUAUAUUAGUAUUAUAGGUAUUUAGCAUUCACUACAUGCCAGUCACUUUUCUUAAGACUUUAUCCCUGCCUCACACCUGUAUCAGACAUAUGCCCAAGAUCCCCUGUUAAAGUUAUCUAAUCUUUACCCCCCUUUAAAGAAGUAAAAACCCAUCUGUUCUCUUUAUCAGGAAAUCUUGCAGACUUCAGUUGCCUUAUGUGUUUUAUUUAUGUUCUGUAGUACUUUGGGUUCUCUUUUUAACUACUAUAUAGUAUUUGCUUACAUGAUACAAGAAAAAUACUGUAUUUUGUAGGAAGAAUCACACCUCAUAUUCAAAAUUUAGUUUAAAAGCAAUUUUCAAACUUAUAAAAAUGAAAUUAACACUGUAUAUUGACUCAAGUUUCCUUUCUGCUGAAUGAUUACACUAUAAAGUGGUACUAAGAAUAUCGUGUUCAUAGACGAUGACGUAGAAUUAAAGUAACCAAAGUACUUCUUCUGGAGUAAUUCUAUAAAUACAUGGCAGAGACAAUUCUACCAGUAUUUUGUAGGCAAAUAAAUUAGCAGAGGCAAAUACGGAGACACAGUCCCAUAUAUCUGGCAUUGGAUCAAGAAUCGAGGGAGUUCCCGUCGUGGCGCAGUGGUUAACGAAUCCGACUAGGAACCAUGAGGUUGCGGGUUCGGUCCCUGCCCUUGCUCAGUGGGUUAACGAUCCGGCGUUGCCGUGAGCUGUGGUGUAGGUUGCAGACGCGUCACUCUGUGGCUGUUUCCUCAUUUAAUAGAGGGUGUUAGAGGCAGAUAAAUACCUCCAUUCUGCCAAGCUCUAAAUUUUGACUUAGGGAAAAAACAUAAGGCACUGGAGGUUUCCUCACAAGUUUUUCUACUGACUCCACCCCUCUCUGUUUCAUCAACUACCACAGGACAAUCUUCACUGACUGUAGAUCAGAACAUGUGUGUUCUAGCUCUCAAUUCAUCACUAACUAUUAGUUCCAACUCUCUGGAGCUUCCCUCAAAUAGAGGAAUUAGACUAGUCCAGGAUCUCUUUUUGUAGGGACAAGUCACUUUAUUGACCCAAAGACUUCAGCUUAAUAGUCAGGAGCAAGACAGAGGCACAGCAUUUCCAGACGUAGGAAAGGUUUGUUCCUGAUACAAGUUACCAGAGCCCAGCCUUACAGCCAAAUAGGUAUUAUGAGCAAGAGUGAAACCUAUAGUAGUAACCUCAGACUACCAGAAAGACCAAAGCCCAGAGGGAGAGAGGAUAUGCCAAUAAAUAUUAGACUAUCUCCCCACUCCUUUUGCUGGAUAUACCUAUUAUCUUAAAAGGAUGUUGUGGCAGCAGAAUACUUGUGCCUAACAAAAAAAACUACUAUGAGUCAGGUACUUGCUGAUUUCAAUUCUGAUCAAUCAGAUCAAAAUAUAACAUCUACCAAAGUAUUAGUCAAUCCAGAUCUAAAACACCAGGGUCUUAAGAAAUCAUUUCACCAUUCUAUAUGUACUAUG
RNAcentral lists this long non-coding RNA (4562 nucleotides) under Sus scrofa (pig). RNAcentral's name for it is "lncRNA (ENSSSCG00025057001.1)". Lineage: Eukaryota; Metazoa; Chordata; Mammalia; Artiodactyla; Suidae. The record is from RNAcentral.